This 467-nucleotide ribosomal RNA is filed under the name uncultured bacterium. RNAcentral's name for it is "bacterial SSU rRNA". It matches the Rfam family "Bacterial small subunit ribosomal RNA", at positions 329 to 793 of the family's 1533-position model. The record is from RNAcentral.
GGCCAGACUCCUACGGGAGGCAGCAGUGAGGAAUAUUGGUCAAUGGGCGCAAGCCUGAACCAGCCAAGUCGCGUGAGGGAUGACGGUCCUAUGGGUUGUAAACCUCUUUUGUCAGGGAGCAAUUGGCGCUACGUGUAGCGUUAUCGAGAGUACCUGAAGAAAAAGCAUCGGCUAACUCCGUGCCAGCAGCCGCGGUAAUACGGAGGAUGCGAGCGUUAUCCGGAUUUAUUGGGUUUAAAGGGUGCGUAGGCGGAAUGCCAAGUCAGCGGUAAAAUCGCGGGGCUCAACCUCGCUCCGCCGUUGAAACUGGCGUUCUUGAGUGGGCGAGAAGUAUGCGGAAUGCGUGGUGUAGCGGUGAAAUGCAUAGAUAUCACGCAGAACUCCGAUUGCGAAGGCAGCAUACCGGCGCCCAACUGACGCUGAAGCACGAAAGCGUGGGUAUCGAACAGGAUUAGAUACCCUCGUAG